This 253-nucleotide ribosomal RNA is filed under the name uncultured bacterium. Its description in RNAcentral is "partial 16S ribosomal RNA". It matches the Rfam family "Bacterial small subunit ribosomal RNA", at positions 524 to 776 of the family's 1533-position model. The record is from RNAcentral.
UACGGAGGGUGCGAGCGUUAAUCGGAAUUACUGGGCGUACAGCGCGCGUAGGCGGUUUGUUAAGUCAGCUGUGAACGCCCCGGGCUCAACCUGGGAACUGCAGUUGAUACUGGCCGACUAGAGUAUGAAAGAGGGAGGUAGAAGUCCAUGUGUAGCGGUGAAAUGCGUAGAUAUAUGGAGGAAUACCAGUGGCGAAGGCGGCCUCCGGGUUCAAUACUGACGCUGAGGUGCGAAAGCGUGGGGAUCAAACAGG